This 20-nucleotide unclassified non-coding RNA is filed under the name Chlamydomonas reinhardtii. RNAcentral's name for it is "small RNA Cre_2810". Lineage: Eukaryota; Viridiplantae; Chlorophyta; Chlorophyceae; Chlamydomonadales; Chlamydomonadaceae. The record is from RNAcentral.
UCUUACGCAGUGGUGGCAGU